UGUAUACCGUACCUUGUUGCUUCGGCGGGCCCGCCGCGCAAGCGGCCGCCGGGGGGGGCGUCAAACCCCCCUCCCUAGGCGAGCGCCCGCCGGAGACACCAACGUGAACACUGUCUGAAGUUUUGUUGUCUGAGUUCGAUUGUAUCGCAAUCAGUUAAAACUUUCAACAAUGGAUCUCUUGGUUCCGGCAUCGAUGAAGAACGCAGCGAAAUGCGAUAAUUAAUGUGAAUUGCAGAAUUCAGUGAAUCAUCGAGUCUUUGAACGCACAUUGCACCCCCUGGUAUUCCGGGGGGUAUGCCUGUCCGAGCGUCAUUGCUGCCCUCAAGCACGGCUUGUGUGUUGGGUCGUCGUCCCCCCUCCCGGGGGGGACGGGCCCGAAAGGCAGCGGCGGCACCGCGUCCGGUCCUCGAGCGUAUGGGGCUUUGUCACCCGCUCUUGUAGGCCCGGCCGGCGCUGGCCGACGCUGAAAAGCAACCAACUAUUUCUCCAGGUGACCUCUUAUCAUGUUU
Molecule: unclassified non-coding RNA, 509 nt
Filed under: Aspergillus sp.
Lineage: Eukaryota; Fungi; Ascomycota; Eurotiomycetes; Eurotiales; Aspergillaceae
Description: sequence contains ITS1, 5.8S rRNA gene, ITS2
Rfam family: 5.8S ribosomal RNA (bases 159-312)
Source: RNAcentral